UGCGUAGGUGGCUUGGUAAGUUUGAUGUGAAAGCUCAGGGCUCAACCCUGAAAUGGCAUUGAAUACUACUGAGCUGGAGGUUUGGAGGGGGGACUGGAAUUCUCGGUGUAGCAGUGAAAUGCGUAGAUAUCGAGAGGAACACCAGUGGCGAAGGCGAGUCCCUGGACAACACCUGACACUGAGGCACGAAAGCUAGGGGAGCAAACA
Molecule: ribosomal RNA, 207 nt
Filed under: uncultured bacterium
Lineage: Bacteria
Description: partial 16S ribosomal RNA
Rfam family: Bacterial small subunit ribosomal RNA
Source: RNAcentral